Molecule: long non-coding RNA, 266 nt
Filed under: Pelobates cultripes (western spadefoot toad)
Lineage: Eukaryota; Metazoa; Chordata; Amphibia; Anura; Pelobatidae
Source: RNAcentral
AUAGUUACAUAGUUACAUAGCUGAAAAGAGACUUGUGUCCAUCAAGUUCAGCCUACCUCACAUUUGUUUUUUGCUGUUGAUCCAAAAGAAGGCAAAAAAACCCAGUUUGAAGCACAAUUUUGCAACAAGCUAGGAAAAAAAUUCCUUCUUGACCCCAGAAUGGCAGUCAGAUUUAUCCUUGGAUCAAGCAGUUAUUACCCUACAUUGACAGAUUAUAUCCUUGAAUAUUCUGUUUUUGCAAGUAUGCAUCUAGUAGCUGUUUGAAC